GUUAAGCGACUAAGCGUACACGGUGGAUGCCCUGGCAGUCAGAGGCGAUGAAGGACGUGCUAAUCUGCGAUAAGCGUCGGUAAGGUGAUAUGAACCGUUAUAACCGGCGAUUUCCGAAUGGGGAAACCCAGUGUGUUUCGACACACUAUCAUUAACUGAAUCCAUAGGUUAAUGAGGCGAACCGGGGGAACUGAAACAUCUAAGUACCCCGAGGAAAAGAAAUCAACCGAGAUUCCCCCAGUAGCGGCGAGCGAACGGGGAGCAGCCCAGAGCCUGAAUCAGUGUGUGUGUUAGUGGAAGCGUCUGGAAAGGCGCGCGAUACAGGGUGACAGCCCCGUACACAAAAAUGCACAUGCUGUGAGCUCGAUGAGUAGGGCGGGACACGUGGUAUCCUGUCUGAAUAUGGGGGGACCAUCCUCCAAGGCUAAAUACUCCUGACUGACCGAUAGUGAACCAGUACCGUGAGGGAAAGGCGAAAAGAACCCCGGCGAGGGGAGUGAAAAAGAACCUGAAACCGUGUACGUACAAGCAGUGGGAGCACAGAGCAAUCUGUGUGACUGCGUACCUUUUGUAUAAUGGGUCAGCGACUUAUAUUCUGUAGCAAGGUUAACCGAAUAGGGGAGCCGAAGGGAAACCGAGUCUUAACUGGGC
RNAcentral lists this ribosomal RNA (651 nucleotides) under Escherichia coli. RNAcentral describes it as "partial 23S ribosomal RNA". It matches the Rfam family "Bacterial large subunit ribosomal RNA", at positions 1 to 693 of the family's 2925-position model. Lineage: Bacteria; Pseudomonadati; Pseudomonadota; Gammaproteobacteria; Enterobacterales; Enterobacteriaceae. The record is from RNAcentral.